GAUGAACGCUGGCUACAGGCUUAACACAUGCAAGUCGAGGGGAAACGACGGGGAAGCUUGCUUCCCCGGGCGUCGACCGGCGCACGGGCGAGUAACGCGUAUCCAACCUGCCUCUGACUGAGGGAUAACCCGUCGAAAGUCGGCCUAAUACCUCAUGGUAUCGUCUGCGGGCAUCCAACGACGAUUAAAGAUUUCAUCGGUCAGGGAUGGGGAUGCGUCUGAUUAGCUUGUUGGCGGGGUAACGGCCCACCAAGGCUACGAUCAGUAGGGGUUCUGAGAGGAAGGUCCCCCACAUUGGAACUGAGACACGGUCCAAACUCCUACGGGAGGCAGCAGUGAGGAAUAUUGGUCAAUGGGCGAGAGCCUGAACCAGCCAAGUAGCGUGCAGGAAGACGGCCCUAUGAGUUGUAAACUGCUUUUAUGCGGGGAUAAAGUGAGGGACGUGUCCCUCAUUGCAGGUACCGCAUGAAUAAGGACCGGCUAAUUCCGUGCCAGCAGCCGCGGUAAUACGGAAGGUCCUGGCGUUAUCCGGAUUUAUUGGGUUUAAAGGGAGCGUAGGCCGUGGAUUAAGCGUGUUGUGAAAUGCAGGUGCUCAACGUCUGCACUGCAGCGCGAACUGGUCCACUUGAGUGUGCGCAACGCAGGCGGAAUUCGUCGUGUAGCGGUGAAAUGCUUAGAUAUGACGAAGAACUCCGAUUGCGAAGGCAGCUUGCGGGAGCACAACUGACGCUGAAGCUCGAAAGUGCGGGUAUCGAACAGG
This 760-nucleotide ribosomal RNA is filed under the name uncultured Prevotella sp. RNAcentral describes it as "bacterial SSU rRNA". It matches the Rfam family "Bacterial small subunit ribosomal RNA", at positions 28 to 776 of the family's 1533-position model. Lineage: Bacteria; Pseudomonadati; Bacteroidota; Bacteroidia; Bacteroidales; Prevotellaceae. The record is from RNAcentral.